CAGGCCUAACACAUGCAAGUCGAACGAGAAAGUGGAGCAAUCCAUGAGUAAAGUGGCGCACGGGUGAGUAACACGUGACUAACCUACCCUCGAGUGGGGAAUAACUUCGGGAAACCGAGGCUAAUACCGCAUAACAUCUACGGAUCAAAUGCGUAAGCAGCUUGAGGAGGGGGUCGCGGCUGAUUAGCUAGUUGGCGGGGUAAUGGCCCACCAAGGCAAUGAUCAGUAGCCGGCCUGAGAGGGCGCACGGCCACACUGGAACUGAAACACGGUCCAGACUCCUACGGGAGGCAGCAGUGGGGAAUUUUGCGCAAUGGGGGAAACCCUGACGCAGCAACGCCGCGUGGAGGAUGAAGCCCCUUGGGGUGUAAACUCCUUUCGAUCGGGACGAUUAUGACGGUACCGGAAGAAGAAGCACCGGCUAACUCUGUGCCAGCAGCCGCGGUAAUACA
Molecule: ribosomal RNA, 452 nt
Filed under: uncultured Acidobacteriota bacterium
Lineage: Bacteria; Pseudomonadati; Acidobacteriota
Description: bacterial SSU rRNA
Rfam family: Bacterial small subunit ribosomal RNA
Source: RNAcentral